GACGAACCGUGCGAACGUUGUUCGGAUUCACUGGGCUUAAAGGGCGCGUAGGCGGUUUCUCAAGUCCGGGGUGAAAUCUUUCGGCUUAACCGGAAAAGUGCCUUGGAUACUGAGAAGCUGGAGGGAGGUAGGGGCAGCUGGAACUUCCAGUGGAGCGGUGAAAUGCGUUGAUAUUGGAAGGAACUCCGGUGGCGAAAGCGAGCUGCUGGAUCUCUUCUGACGCUGAGGCGCGAAAGCUAGGGGAGCAAACGGG
Molecule: ribosomal RNA, 253 nt
Filed under: uncultured bacterium
Lineage: Bacteria
Description: partial 16S ribosomal RNA
Rfam family: Bacterial small subunit ribosomal RNA
Source: RNAcentral